AGAGUUGAUCCUGGCUUAGGAUUAACGCUGGCGGCAUGCCUAAUACAUGCAAGUCGAAUGAGAAGCUUGCUCUCAUGGCGAACGGGUGAGUAACACGUAGGUAACCUGCCUUACACUCGAGGAUAACCGUUGGAAACGACGGAUAAUACUGGAUAGGACAGAGAUUCGCAUGAGACUCUGUUUAAAAGCGAUGGUGUAUGAGGGGCCUGCGGUGCAUUAGCUAGUUGGUGAGGUAACGGCUCACCAAGGCGAUGAUGCAUAGCUGGACUGAGAGGUUGAACAGCCACAAUGGGACUGAGAACGGCCCAUACUCCUACGGGAGGCAGCAGUAGGGAAUUUUCGGCAAUGGGGGAAACCCUGAACCCGAGCAAUGCCGCGUGAACGAUGAAGUAUUUCGGUAUGUAAAGUUCUUUUAUUAGGAAAGAUAGUGACGGUACCUAAUGAAUAAGCUCCGGCUAACUACGUGCCAGCAGCAGC
Molecule: ribosomal RNA, 477 nt
Filed under: uncultured bacterium
Lineage: Bacteria
Description: bacterial SSU rRNA
Rfam family: Bacterial small subunit ribosomal RNA
Source: RNAcentral